RNAcentral lists this long non-coding RNA (3104 nucleotides) under Triticum aestivum (bread wheat). Its description in RNAcentral is "long non-coding RNA (TAES_LNC012783)". The record is from RNAcentral. Lineage: Eukaryota; Viridiplantae; Streptophyta; Magnoliopsida; Poales; Poaceae.
CUGCUCCUUCCCGAAAUCACCUGCCUGAGCCAGAUUUUGCUGCACAAUUACAGAAUAUGAUUUAGGUGACCCAACAGAUUCACUGUUAAAACUUAGUAGAAACAAGUGCAGCACUUCGUAGAAACAAGCAUCAAUUCUAACAGGUAAGCCCCUUGGAACACACGUUGGGGUAGCAAUCCAUGGGAUGGAUUAUGACAACUUCCAGUCACUGCUUACUAGAGAGACCUGCUGGCUACGGUAAUAACUGGUCUCACGGUUGCGAUUAUAUACAUUUGAUUGCCAGCACAGAUAAAGGUAUAGCUUUUGAGUUAUUUGUGUCCACUGAGACACUGACUAUCAGCAGCCUAAAUCAAGCCAAUUGAUAACUGAUAUACAUAGGCCACUGCCCUGAAUCUUCAGCAAGAAAAUAGAUUCAAUUAUAGCAUUGAACCAAGCAUAGCCAUAAUUUACAGGUUACAACAUGCUUGCUAAACUAACCAUUGUGGUGUUCUUAACAGUAUUUGUUGGUACUACCAAAAAUAACUAAGACCCUUAUACUGAAUUUGAAGGAUGUCAGACGGAUAAAAUGUGAAGAUAUCCAGAAAUGAGAACCAAUCGGAUGUAAAAUUAGAACUUGACAUGUUGAAUUUACCAUGUUAACAGAACACAAACCAGAGUCACAAGCCUCCAGAGCAACCACAUCGUCUGAAUCUUCAUUGGCUUGCAGGAUCAACUCAGUACCAAGUUGAACAUGAUGAUUCCUGCGAAUGAAUGGGAAGCCACCAAGCAGGCAUUCCACCACCUGAUGAGCGGGUGGCUUGAUGAUUGCUCCUUCAUCUAGGCCUAUCCAAUACAUUGGCAGCCUGUUGACAACACAAGACACAAGUUUAUCAUGAAUCCCUGAAACCUCCUCAAUCAGUUCACACAAGUUGCAGGUACACAAUCAAUAGUUGCACUUCUGUUCUGGAUCUAUGAUCAGUUUUGGAUGUAUAAUCAAGGAUGUGAUUCAUAAUAGCAAACAAACAAGCAGACAAGCAGACUUGUCAUACUCCCUUCCUGCCCCAUAAUAUAAGAGGUUUCUGCUACGGAGUACUUAUGUAGCCCAUCAACCCAGGUACUCCCUCCGUUCCAGAAUACUUGUCAUGGUUUUAGUUAAACUUUGAACCAAAACCAUGACAAGUAUUUUGGAACGGAGGGAGUACAUGGUUUACAUUUCAAGCAAGAAAGAUUGCAUGACAAAUGGUUUACUUAUGCACAGCCUAAGUCCCAUAAUAUAAGGGCAAGUUAACCUUCCCCGUGCAGGCCCUCUCCUGCUGCACCCCUCUCGCACCCUCAGGGACAACCACCUAUUAGCGUCAGCGGGGAGUAGAGACAGUUUUCUACUUGUCUCUGUUAUCAGUCACGGUAACAGGGUAGUUACUGAGAGAAGUAGCAUCCAUUAUUCUACAUCUGCCUCUGUUAGCUAUUGCUUUAAAGUAAUUAGCUGUAUAUUACCAAAUCAGCAUUUUUCUGAGAAAAGGUAAAUUCCUGGAUCAAUGUAGGGGCGAUAAGUGUCGACGUAUCUGCAGCAGAGCACCAUAUAAAUCACAAGAACAUAUAUCGAAGAAUGGCGAUGAACAACUAAACAACCACUUAGGGGUGGGUUCAGUGUAGGGGCGAUAAGUGUUGACGUAUCUGCAGCAGAGCAGCAUAUAAAUCACAAGAACAGAUAUCGAAGAAUGGCGAUGAACAACUAAACAACCACUUAGGGGUGGGUUCAGUGUAGGGGCGAUAAGAGACGACGUAUCUGCAGCAGAGCAGCAUAUAAAUCACAAGAACAGAUAUCGAAUAAUGGCGAUGAACAACUAAACAACCACUUAGGGGUGGGUGGCACACAGUGAUCACUGAUACGGCUCAAUUCCUACAGAUCGACAGGAAACUCAGUACUACCGAAACAAUCACUUCGGUUUGAUCGGAUUGGUCUUAGCCCUCCCUACCUAAACAAACCCUAUUGAAGGUCCAACUCCUAGAGGAAAUUCCCCAGCAGCAAAUGCACUAGCUGACUGGCAUGCAAUAUGAAACGACUUUGAUACACAUGCAAUUGACAUACCUAUCAAGCAGUUGCCAGCGGUUUCUGACUUGUGCAUCCACAUCAUCAAUCUCCUUUUCCAAUUCCUGAAGCAUAGCAUCAACCUAAAACAGAGCAAAAAUAUAUGUCAACAAAUAACCCAUAAAUUAUUCAAUAGCAAUGUAUAGAUGACCAACAUCAAUGGUAGCUCUGCCAAAGAAAUAUCUCCAACUAACAGACUUGGGGGAUGGCGAAUGUAGGCAUACAGAUCAGCAAUAAAGCCAUACGAUGUAACUUUGUUAACAAGAGCAACCAAGACCCUUAUACUUCUAAUGCUGACAUGCUAUACUUCAAUCGUUCUUUUUUUAGGCUAAAGAAAGAAUUUGCUGCAUUAAGAAAGAAUUGUCACAAUCUUUUUGACAUAAAGAACAGAACCAGCGACCAAGCAUAAGUGCCUAGAGCUAACUUGUGAGCAACUCUCAAUCGUAUGCUUCAAUGUAAACUAACACAGGUCAAGACCGAGUGAAAGUUGACUGAUUCAGGAUGCAGUUUAUGAUAGCAAAAGCUGGAAGGAGUAAUUACCUGUCCACAAGUCAUUUCAGAUGAUGAACGACUGAGCACAAGAAUGGACAAUAGGAAGCUGCAGAAUAUGCUCAAAUCAAUUGCCAACGCAUAGCACCUGCACAUAUUUUAGUUGGGAGAGGAUAUGAGUAUCUUUUUUCUGAGACGACACGAGGACAUUGUCGCCGAAGAAGAUGUUCUUGCUGGAGUAAGAUGUGCAUAGACAGCCAGAGAGGGAAGCAUUAUAUAGUACCUGCGAGGUUUGCGACUUUACCAGCCAUCAAGCAAAUGAAGGAAUGGUAAUAGGCCUGAAUGAAUGAAUGAUUAUAGGCCAUAAUCGUGAGCUUGAAGGGGAGCGUAGCAGUUUCCAGCAGAACAAUGCCAUGAUUGCGAGAUUGAAGGAGAGGAGACAAGUUACCAGUACAGUACACCAGGUGUCUCUCCCUCGCCCGCAACUCACACCUCUGGAUUGGAUUGGCUCGACCCGGAUCCUGCUCCGCCGAUCGCUGAGAUCGAC